UCUGUAUAAGCAGUCAAUAUAAUAUUUAAUACAGUCCUUGUUUAGACGGUUAACUGCUAAUUAUGGUUAGGUACAUAAUCACUGUAGUAAAUAUCCGCUCUUACUACUGAUUGUCAUGAAUAAGCCAUCAAACGGGAUAUAAGAUGGUGGUUUGUUGCAAAAUAGCAAUUAAAUUGGACAUUGUAGAAGUCGACACUCAAGAGAUACCAAACAAAAGAACACUAUUCCUUUAAGAUGAAGUAUGCAGCAGUAAUUUUGUUGUCUUUUGCUGUGAUGUUGGCCCUUCUACCUGACGUCACCCAAGGAUUGAGCAACUCCCAACGAUGUAUGAUUGGCUGUAAGCAAAGGACUGCACUUUGCUUUAUAUUUUGCCAUGGGAGAAUUAAGUGUAAUAGCUGUUUAAGGUCGAUAGAGAAAUGUCGCCUAUUGUGCUACUGAGAAAACCGUUCAUCGUUUUAUUUAGCUGAUGAGCACAUGCAGUUUGCAAUAAUGAAAAACAUGGUUGCAAUAUUAAGAUUAGAGUCAAAAUAAACAUAUAUACCAA
Long non-coding RNA from Exaiptasia diaphana, 544 nucleotides. RefSeq lists it as uncharacterized. The record is from RefSeq and is a predicted model, not a curated record. NCBI's taxonomy places the organism in Eukaryota, Metazoa, Cnidaria, Anthozoa, Actiniaria, Aiptasiidae. The transcript has 2 exons.